RNAcentral lists this unclassified non-coding RNA (398 nucleotides) under Hevea brasiliensis (rubber tree). The record is from RNAcentral. Lineage: Eukaryota; Viridiplantae; Streptophyta; Magnoliopsida; Malpighiales; Euphorbiaceae.
GGUUCCCUUGCACGCAUGAGUACACAAAAUUGUUGAGAAGUUUCAGAAGAAAGGAAAAAGAAAUGAAAAAUUAAUUAGGAAAAAAACUCUUGCACAAUGAAUUUGAGAGGGAAUAGGCCAUGCAGUGAACAUCAUAUUCAUAUCUGGAGAUAUGAUUUUUGGGCUAAAAUUAGUUUUAACAAUUUAUUCUCAUAUCACGAUACAGCUAACAAGUUUCAUGUGUGUUGGUUACUGAUAAAACACCAUACUGAAAACUAUGAAGAUGUUUGUAAUAUUGUAAGAUCACCCAGGGCUGCUUUUCUCUUUUACCAAUAGAAGCAUUCACCCCUGUGCAUGUCAGACAUGAUAGUCCUGAUAUCACCAUGUCUCUGAAUCACAACUUUUGAUUGCUAGCUUUG